UACGGGGGGGGCAAGCGUUGUUCGGAAUUACUGGGCGUAAAGGGCUCGUAGGCGGCCAACUAAGUCAGACGUGAAAUCCCCAGGCUCAACCUGGGAACUGCGUCUGAUACUGGAUGGCUUGAAUUCGGGAGAGGGAUGCAGAAUUCCAGGUGUAGCGGUGAAAUGCGUAGAUAUCUGGAGGAAUACCGGUGGCGAAGGCGGCAUCCUGGACCGACAUUGACGCUGAGGCGCGACAGCGUGGGGAGCAAACAGG
This 253-nucleotide ribosomal RNA is filed under the name uncultured bacterium. RNAcentral's name for it is "partial 16S ribosomal RNA". It matches the Rfam family "Bacterial small subunit ribosomal RNA", at positions 524 to 776 of the family's 1533-position model. The record is from RNAcentral.